This 497-nucleotide ribosomal RNA is filed under the name uncultured bacterium. Its description in RNAcentral is "partial 16S ribosomal RNA". It matches the Rfam family "Bacterial small subunit ribosomal RNA", at positions 28 to 507 of the family's 1533-position model. The record is from RNAcentral.
GACGAACGCUGGCGGCGUGCCUAGUACAUGCAAGUUGAGCGCUGAAGGUUGGUACUUGUACCGACUGGAUGAGCAGCGAACGGGUGAGUAACGCGUGGGGAAUCUGCCUUUGAGCGGGGGACAACAUUUGGAAACGAAUGCUAAUACCGCAUAAAAACUUUAAACACAAGUUUUAAGUUUGAAAGAUGCAAUUGCAUCACUCAAAGAUGAUCCCGCGUUGUAUUAGCUAGUUGGUGAGGUAAAGGCUCACCAAGGCGAUGAUACAUAGCCGACCUGAGAGGGUGAUCGGCCCCAUUGGGACUGAGACACGGCCCAAACUCCUACGGGAGGCAGCAGUAGGGAAUCUUCGGCAAUGGACGAAAGUCUGACCGAGCAACGCCGCGUGAGUGAAGAAGGUUUUCGGAUCGUAAAACUCUGUUGGUAGAGAAGAACGUUGGUGAGAGUGGAAAGCUCAUCAAGUGACGGUAACUACCCAGAAAGGGACGGCUAACUACGUG